RNAcentral lists this transfer RNA (64 nucleotides) under Empis trigramma. Its description in RNAcentral is "tRNA-Leu". Lineage: Eukaryota; Metazoa; Arthropoda; Insecta; Diptera; Empididae. RNAcentral also lists the same sequence under 1 other name. The record is from RNAcentral.
ACUAUUUUGGCAGAUAAAUGCAAUAAAUUUAGAAUUUAUUUAUGUAAUAUUUUUACAAAUAGUA